Molecule: long non-coding RNA, 1898 nt
Organism: Macaca fascicularis (crab-eating macaque)
Lineage: Eukaryota; Metazoa; Chordata; Mammalia; Primates; Cercopithecidae
Source: Ensembl
AACUUGUAGGGGGUGCAGGGGGUGCGUUCCAGGCUCCAGUCCCUUUUGGGGUAUGUCCUUCUCCUUCUUCUCUGCUGUCUGGCUGAUGCAGCCUGCAUAAACCAUGAACUUGACUAGUUUGGUUAUGAUUCUCAAUUUUUAUUUCAAUUAUCAUUAACUUGUAAAAAUCUUCCCCCUUAUUUGAGUAAGAGAUGUCAUGUCAAAAAAAAAAAAAAAAAAAAAGUCACAGCUACAUUUUAGCUCAUUUCAAUCUUUGCUGCUACCUGGAUUUCCUGGCUUCUUGACAACCCAUAUUUAGUACAUAUUGAGGCUGUAAUUGCAUAAUCAUCGAAAGGUCAUAGGUGAACAUUUUGUGCUUCAGAAAUUUCCUGAAAUUUCCUGAAUUACUAGCUGUGUCUGAAAGGGACUUGAUAACUUGGAUUUUUAGCAAGUAUUACAAUUUGAAUAUACCACAAUAUUACUAUAAACAAUUGAAAAUCCUAAGUAGGUCCAAACAAGAGAGUAGCAAAUACACAAAGGAUAAUAGGUAGGACCUGUGUAAAAGGGAAAAUGAACGAUGUUACCAUUAUGAUGCUAUGACCAUUAGUACGGUCAGUAUUUUACAAGGUGUAUAUUAGCAGUUUGUAAAGAACUGCUGUUCUGAUAUUCUGGUAUUCCCAAGUAGCUUAGAGAGGCUAUUCUAUAGCUAUUUCUUCAAGAAUGACAGUUUCCAGCCUGUCUUUUUAAAUGUCAGAAUAAGUGUCUGAUGUAAAGUAGGAAUUAGGAUAUGAGAAUCAGAGUCAUUUCGAGUUUCUUAAACAAGACCUCUAAGUCUUAAGCAGGAAUCGGCAUAUCAGUUUUACAGAUGGGAACAUCGUAAGAGCCAUUUGUUUAAACUCGGCAUAAUUAGAGAUAAUUACGUGUUUAACAGUCUUUUAAGCUCAUUCUCUGGUUUGUAAGGAACAGAGACUCAUGUUAAUUACCCAGAAAAAGGAGGCAUGUUGCUAAGCCGCGUAAACUAGAACGAGAACAGAAACGGCAUCAGAAUGAACUGUGCAACCCAGCUCUCUGCUUCUCUCUGACAUGGACAUCUCUGGUUCCCCCUCCUCUUUACUUCUAUCCCUAACCCCAACCCCUGAUACAGACAGAAAACAGCAGUCAAACUAACGUCAAUAUAUGAUGUGCUAUAUUUGUUAUCUUAAACAAAUAUGUACGUUGCUUUCUGGUUUUUGUGUGUGACUUGAUUAGGCUAAGCCGGCAUCCCUGUGGACAGAAAAUCCCAAGGCAGAGACAAAACAGAGUUUCUGUGCCUGCAAGGAUGGGCCUGCCCCUGGACUGUGGUGAAUUUACACUGUGACACCAAAUAAGUUAUCCUUCUUGGCAGCUACUGGCCUUUCAGGCUGCACCAAGACAUACAGCACAUCAUUUUGUUCAAACUCCUGUUGCAGGGAGGGAGGCAUCUAUACAUGCCCAUUAUAUGUGGCUAAAUUUAAAAAAUAUGUUUUAGUUCUUAAAGACAUACUCUUGAGUUACUUUGAAAAUGACCUUUCCAAAUGUCAUAUCCCUUUUACUGUCAAUAAACAAGGCAACGCUGUGUUUAUAAAGUUGAAAUGGAAAGAAGCAGAAGGAAAAAAUAACGAAUUUCUAUGGUGAAACUCACAAGUAUUUUUACUUCUUUUUUCCUGCUUAGAUAUAAAAAUCCUGUUAAUUACUCCUGUAAACCUCAGCUCCUUGCUGUUCUGAUGUGGGUCUUGGAUACAUUCCAUAGCGUUCGUUAUGCACCGGAGGCUGGAACAGAACAAACGAAGGGAAGAAACUGUUAUGUCCUUGUGCUUUUGGGCUCCAAUGACAACAUUGGCCACUUGGUGGCAGUGAUUGGUUUAGUCCAGGCUGAGGAGUUCAUGUAUUUCUUUUGUGAU